This 504-nucleotide ribosomal RNA is filed under the name uncultured bacterium. Its description in RNAcentral is "partial 16S ribosomal RNA". It matches the Rfam family "Bacterial small subunit ribosomal RNA", at positions 38 to 536 of the family's 1533-position model. The record is from RNAcentral.
GACGAACGCUGGCGGCGUGCUUAACACAUGCAAGUCGAACGGAAAGGCCCUGCUUUUGUGGGGUGCUCGAGUGGCGAACGGGUGAGUAACACGUGAGUAACCUGCCCUUGACUUUGGGAUAACUUCAGGAAACUGGGGCUAAUACCGGAUAGGAGCUCCUGCUGCAUGGUGGGGGUUGGAAAGUUUCGGCGGUUGGGGAUGGACUCGCGGCUUAUCAGCUUGUUGGUGGGGUAGUGGCUUACCAAGGCUUUGGCGGUUAGCCGGCCUGAGAGGGUGACCGGGAACAGGGGAGGUGGGGAACGGCCCAGGAUGGUAGGGGAGGAAGCAGUGGGGAAUAUUGCGCAAGGGGGGGAGGCGGGAGGCAGGCACGGCGUGUGGGGGAUGCCGGCUGUCUGGUGGUACAGCGCUUUGGCCGGUGAGGAAGCGUGGGUGACGGAAGGGGGUAAAGAAGCAGCGGCGAACUGCGUGCCAGCGCCGGCGGAAAUCGAGGGCACACUUCUGCAC